Molecule: long non-coding RNA, 4570 nt
Organism: Ictalurus punctatus (channel catfish)
Lineage: Eukaryota; Metazoa; Chordata; Actinopteri; Siluriformes; Ictaluridae
Source: Ensembl
UUUUUUUUUAAAUUUUGGCUGGAAUCCUACAGCGGAUUGUCUGAUGUUCUCCGUGUCAAAUUACUGCACAUAAUGAAGAUUCUCCAUCGAUAGACCUGCGAUGCGAUCGUGGUCAUAAGUAACGAGGACACCGAGGUCCGGACCUUUCGAUGGUCAUUUCAAAAGCAGAGCGUUCACAGCAUCCGUCAAAUACACACACUGUGACGUCCUGAUAACAUAAUGGCACAAUGGAGCCUCCCGUGCAGAAAUACCGAAUUCAUUCAACUUAAACAGUGUAACUUGAGCUACAGCAGUUUAUCUACGAAUGGAAGUACAAAAUAAGAGAACUUAGAAAUUAUAAACCGAUGUAGUGUACAUUUGGCAUUGUGUUCAUAUUAAAUAGUGCAGUUGGUCGAAUAGUUUGUGAUCCUGGUCAGUAAUGAAAAUAGUAAUGAAAACGACUACUCUGUGCUUCGAUAAGGCAAUAUCGAUGCGUUCGUGUUCGCUAGCAUGUCUUGUUUACGUUUUACCACUGCCAUGAGAAAUAAAAACAGGAAAAAUCAGAACAAGGUUUCCCGGACGUCCUGAAAACGUCCAAUUUUGAAAAAAAUACGUAACGCGAGUUCUUUGUGUGUAAGAUAACGAGAACAAAUCAGAACCAGCUCCGAUCCUGACAGACGGCUCCGACCCUGCCGUCCUGCUGUCACUGGAAUGUGACCUCCAUCAAAACACACACACGACCGAUGGAGAAGGAGAUGGAUGGAUGAAGGGAUUGGGAGAUUAGGAUCAAAGAACGGGCAGCGCACCGAAGAGAGACGAGAGGGUGCACUCUGCUCUGAGUGGAGUUAACAGGAGUUUUCCCCAUGGACAAGGAAAGAGAAAGUCCAAACUAAUGACUAAUCAACUGGGGGGAAUGUCUGAGUUCCUUAACGACAGAUCAGUGACACACACUAAAUCACUAAAGUGAACAAUUGCAAAUCAAUAAGCACGCACACACACAGUCUUUAGUUCAACACCACGCCGCAUUCACUUCACUUCAAUUCAAUUCAAUUUUAUUCGUGUGGCGCUUUUAACGAUGGACGUCGUCUCAAAGCAGCUUUACAGAGACAUAUAAACACAGGAUAGAGAUUUUAAGCGUGUGAAUUUAUCCCUAUUGAGCGAGCCGGUGGCGACGGUGGCGAGGAAAAACUCCCUAAGAUGAUAUGAGGAAGAAACCUUGAGAGGAACCGGACUCAGAAGGUAACCCGUCCUCAUCUGGGUCACAACGGAUAGUGUGAACGUAAAGGGAAGUUCGUUAUGGUGUUUAUAUGAAGUCUGUGUGUUGAACUAGUCCACUGUUCACUAAAGGAGACCCGAGUGUAAAACUGUACGUGGUGAUUGCAGUCUUAAGGCCAUCGCAGCAACCGUAGUCCCGGCAACCACAGCGAGAACGUCCAUGUGGAAUUGAGGUCCAAAACCAUUUCCGUGAUACUUCAAGCAGCACCGUCCUCAACAAUCCUCAGGAUGUAGCCUCCAGGUGAUGAGAGCUCCAUCCAGAGGUAGGGCAUCAGGAUGGAUCAGGCAGGUCCGGAGAGCAGAAAGGGUCAGGAUCACUGCCAUCAUCAUAAAAUCAUGUGUGGCUCGACAGAGGGAGAGGGAGGUAAAUACUGUAAAAGAUAAAGAAUUCGGCCCUAACUCUGACUGAUCUAGCAGUGCCGGCAAGACAGGUUUGGCGGGAAGAGAAAUCAGCAGAACAGGAGUGUCUGUGAGAGAAUAAUUUUGAGUGACAGCUCUAGCAAGGAGUGACACAGAUCUGUUACUGAGAGAGAGAGAGUGAGUGUAUGUACAUGCAUAGAAUAAAAUGUAUAAAAGAUUUUCCUGAUAAUUUGAUCCACUGUUUGGAAAUCAGAUUUCCUGAGCCCUCGGAGAAUUGUUCCUGUGUUCAGUUUUCAGGACGAUGGACUUUCGUCACGUGACAAGCUGCGUUUUUGUCCUAUUGACCUCAAGGCAAAGAUUGUGAAUGUUUGUUUACGGGUGUAAAUAAUAACAGGAAGGCAUUCGUUUCCAAAGCAUUAAAUGUAACAAUAAAUGGACAAAAAGUACAACGUGUCAUCCUUUAAUAAAUAAAGCAUUUAGACAUGCAUUUAUUGGAAAAUCAUCGACUGCAGCGUCGACCCCUUACGUCUUUUAUUCCUUCAAUAAGUUUCUAAAGAGGAUUUGUUCUUUAUGGCACCAAUUAAUCCGAGGGAUCUGAGUGGACGUGCAGGCUUUGGAGCACUUCGAAUUUGCAUAUUCAUAUUCACACUUCUGUGCCGUUCCUGCUGUCUAAAGACGACUGUGGUUCGUUAUCACGAGAAAUUCGUUAAUCGAUACACUUUCACUAUAUUUGACUUUUUCCUGAUAUUUGACGCGUUUCACAGUAUAAAAUGAAAUCCAUACAACAAAAUCCACGAUUCGAAUUCUCAGUUAUGACAAAGCAUCAUCUCUUAACGAGGACAUUUCAAAGAGCAGCGGUUUAACAAAUGAUAUUCCGGAUCAGCAAUGCCAACAGUCCAGAAUUCCUAAAUCCAGCAAAAUAUAUUGCAAGUGAGGGAGUUUAAGGAUGAGCCAUUACCCUUUUGAAGCUUCCGUUCAAAGAUUUCAUGGUGUUUCAGUGAGUUUUUACUAUAAAUUAAAUAUAAUAUAUAUAUAAAAUUUUACUGGAUGGAAAAAUCUUUAAUACAGUGUUCCUAGGUGAUGUGAGUACCAAUAAUUACGGCGCGAGUUUAUGAGAAUCAGACACGUGGCUCCUAAAAAUCUGCCAUUUCCCUCAACACCUUUUCUUCUCACCUCGAUACGUCUCUCCAUAUCAGUUACGGAGUCCUGAUCAGCCCGUGACAUGAGACACCCCAUAAACCCACAUAAAAGUCAGAGGGUGCGAACGCUAGCAGCUUCUCUCUGCUUCUCAUUUCCUGUGUGGAGCCCUUUACAGCAGCGGUUCCUGCUUUUACACAAGCUCCCCCUGCCAGGGGCAACUUCACUUCAUCUGGAUCAAACAUCACGCAGUACUCAGGGGGAGUUUUCUACAGGAAACACACCGUCAUACACAUCUGACACAUGACGAGAGAGCGAGUGAGAGAGACUUACAGAAGUAAUACCUCCUUUGGCAGGUAUCACUACUGGCGAAUGCUGUUUGUACUCUUCUUUGCAGAAUGUUUCUAGUUAUGAGAUAUUCCUGGGUGAUCUUGCCUGCACAGUAUGUUUAAGAUUUACACACAGAUUUUCAAUUAUGUUCAAGGUCUGUAAGGCCAAUCAAACGCUCCAGCUUGCAUUUCCUGAAGUACUCCAUGGUAGAUUUUGAGUUAUGUUUUGAUUCACUGUCCUGUUGUCAAAUCCAGCGCGUUUUCAACUUUGGCUUCUUGACUGACUGUGGCACAUCUACCUGUGCAAAGUUUCUUGAGCCACUGGCUAUCACAAAACCCCAAAGCAUGACACGUUCACCCAUAUGCUUAAUAGUGCAUCAAAUGCUGCUCACUUUUUUCACCAAACAGACCUUUGGUGAUUGUAGCCAAAUAGUAUCCAGAAUGCCUCUGGCUUACCUAGACAUUGCUUUGCAUGCUUCAUACACUGACUUUUGUGAUGAAGUAAGGUUUCCUUCUGAUGACUCUUCCAUGCAGAGCAUGUUUGUGCAAGUAACUCUGCACAGUAGAUUGGCGCACCACCACUCUUGUGUCAGCUUAACUUUCCUGCAGGUCUUUAGCAGUGCUUGGGACAUUUGCUUUGCCCUUCUGCCCAAUAUACCAGUAGUUCUGUGUGAGAGAUUUCCUGGUCUUUCAACUGUUUCCUUGACUUCCACAGUUCCCCUUAACUGCCAUUUCUUAAUGACAUUUCAGACAGUGUAAAUUGAGAGUUGGAACGAACCACUUUGCUAUCUUUUUAUAGCCUUCCCCUGCAUUGUAGGCGUUAAUUAGCUUUAUUUUCAGAUCCAGAGAGGAAGCCCAUGGUUCUUACGUGCUAGCAUGAGGUUUGUGAGUCAGAAUUCGUUUUGCUCUGGAAUUGUUGUUCCUAAUCACAAGUUCUAAUGACUCUAACAUUUGCACUUACUAAAAUUGCAAUGUCAUUUUGCAGCUCCAACGUUCAUCAAAUUAACAAACAAAACAAAACAAAAAAAAAAAACUGUUCGUUAAUAUCUAUAGAAAAUGUUUUAUUGUUUGAAAUACUUUGCUACUGAGGUUGUGUUUACAGCUGUUCACUUCAGAAAUCAAGAUAAUAUGUCAUUUGGCCAGGGGUGUUCAAACUUGUACGAAUAUAGAGGGUGUGUGUGAUUGGGUUCUUCUGCUAAUCCUGUUUGGAAUCAUAUGGCACCAAACAGUAUGAUCACAGAGUGCAAUCUGAAACCUGUCAAGUCAUAAAUCCCCAAAGCAUCGACACCCAUACCCCCCUCACAUCCCACUCACUCACUCACACACACACACACACACUUUAAACAGAAAAGUCUGGGUUUCAUCUCCUCACUUCAUUUAUGAUACACAAUAGUCUUACUAUCACACACCACAACGUCACCCAUUGCGACCCUCGGGAUCCAACUAAUUUCUUCUGGGAAUAAAAUUCCUACACAAGUCCUGUCCUUUUU